RNAcentral lists this ribosomal RNA (618 nucleotides) under Triticum aestivum (bread wheat). RNAcentral's name for it is "partial small subunit ribosomal RNA". Lineage: Eukaryota; Viridiplantae; Streptophyta; Magnoliopsida; Poales; Poaceae. The record is from RNAcentral.
AUGCCAAGGCACGCCUGUCCCUCUCCUCCAGCCUUCUCUCGCGCCCGGCAAGCCAGGACUGACCCUCUCCUCCAGCCUCCUCUCGCGCCCGAGUGGAUCUCCCGAGACAGCCCGUCCGCAUCCGGCCGCCGCUGGCAAGCUGAUACGACCGUGCGUAAUUUAUCUAUGAUGGUUGCUACUGAUAAAAGUAAGUCUAUACAUAUGGCUGAAUAUUCUACUAAUGUUGUACAAGACGAAGCUAUGAUUGUGGUUGACAAGUUUAAGCAUGCGAAGGAGACGCAAGAAUUGAUGAUGCAUGUACGAGAAGAAAAAUAUGUUCAGGUUGAGAGGCCCAUUAUUAUUUGGCUCGACGUGCCUGAAAUAGGAGGAAACCAAGGAAAUAGAUAUUCUGAUUAUUUUGGCAAGUCACGUUUCUUAGGAGGAAGCAAGGAGUCCAUGUCAGAUUUUGAAUGUUUUCUUGCCAUGACUACUAGUUGCUGCCUGAGGAGAUACAUUGCAUAUUUUAUAUUCAUCUUCUUACCAACUAAGAGACGUAUAUGGACAAGAUGCUUGAUACGUGAUUACUUAUCCUUGCAAGGCUGCGGAUGGGGCCCACCAAGGCAAGUUAACCGAUGGUGA